AACAAACCUCUGAACACGGAGAAACUGCGACACACAGCAGGUGUGCAGCUCCCAGAGUCUCAGGACUGAUGAAUCUUUUACAGGACACUUUACAGACAGAAAAGAUGACCAACUGAAGAUAAAGAUGAAAUAGAAAACAAUUUCAUCAUGUUCCGGGAAAAAGAAAGAGGUACUGCAAGCAGGAGAGAACACAGUAGGACUAGACCACCUUCAU
This is a non-coding RNA of Danio rerio (zebrafish), 214 nucleotides long. Lineage: Eukaryota; Metazoa; Chordata; Actinopteri; Cypriniformes; Danionidae. The record is from RefSeq and is a predicted model, not a curated record.